This is a long non-coding RNA of Bos indicus x Bos taurus (hybrid cattle), 1511 nucleotides long. NCBI's taxonomy places the organism in Eukaryota, Metazoa, Chordata, Mammalia, Artiodactyla, Bovidae. The record is from Ensembl.
GUCCUGAGCACAAGUCCACAUGGCUGAUCCUGUUACAAAGAAUCUCAAUAGACUGUCUUCACUAAAGACAGAAGUCUAAUUUAUAUGAGCUCAGGCUCUCCCACCUUCUCUGGAAAAUAGUGUAGGUUCUCCCCAUCUUUAUUCAUUCUUGUGAUUUUUUUUUAGAGGGGAAGUAGAACUUCACACACCAUGUCUGACUGUGCUGAAACUCUCCAAAUCAAUCAGAUGAAGGGCCUCUGUCCACUUCUCGUGAGGUAACACGGCAGCUUCUUGGCUGGAUGAUGCAUGCAGAGCGCUCUGGUUACAGGCUCAGGGUGUCAGCUUCGGUCCCUCCCUCCUGUUCCGUGCAGGGAGGCGUUCUGUUCUCCCCAUAUGGUGCAGAGCGGGGCAUCACGCACUUGGCCCUAGAAGUGAUGGCUUUGCUGCUUGCUCUCAACGUCUGGGAAGCCAUGGCACCGAGUCCAGAGCUUUGGCAGAGAGCUGGCCUGAGUCUCUUGCAGCAGCAGGAUGGGCCCCAGGAGGUAGAGGUGAAUCAUGGGACCCAGGAGGGGAAACUGUACUUGCUAAUUUUAAAAUCCCUGCUUGAUACAUUGGUGACGCUGUUUUAUUAUUUUCCUGGGAAAAUGCACCAAAUAGAGGAAAUGGCAGUGACACAGAAAAAUAUUUCCGAGCUUAGAGUGUCAUUAUUAAUCCCAUGAUUUCCAGAUGGAAUUCAUUCACUUGGAGAAGCAGAGACUACUUGGCAGAAAGGACCACAUGCAAAAUCCUUGCAGCAGCCUGAGAUCAAUGUCUACUCAAACAAAGGAUGCAUGAGGAAGCUGGGUUUCAUGGCUGCUUUUAGUCAUCGAGGCCCUGAGGACCAAUAAGUGAUCAAACUUGGCCAUUUAGAGAAUUUUUUCUCCACAAGGUAAAUAGAUGUCCAAGUACAACUGCUCACAUGUAACGAGGAGAAGUCAGAAUUCUAUUCUCCUAUUUUAUGUUUUUUAAAGUGGUGAUUCUUUCACCUGAUGGAAAACACUAAACACAGAUUAACACUACCGACAAAGGGCUGCCUGUCAAGUGAGACUCAGCUUUGGGGCCAGCAAGACUGAAUCGAGGGCUUCCCGGUGGCACUAGUGGUAAAGAACCCGUCUGCCAAUGCAGGUCAGACAUAAGACAGGCUGGCCUGAUCCCUGGGUCGGGAAGAAACCCUGGAGAAGGGCAUGGCAACCCACUCCAGUAUUCUUGCUGGGAGAAUCCCAUGGACAGAGGAGCCUGGCAGGCUACCAUAGGGUCAUACAGAGUUGGGCACAACUGAAGCAGCUUAGCAUGGCACCCACGGCAAGACUGAAUCGAUGUGAAAGUCCUGAAGGGUCUGCUGGCAGUGUCCCAGAUGGCAGGCAGCCAUGCUCCCCAGACUCCCUGAGGAAGUCAACCUGGCUCCCUGAGCCCCUCUCUGCUCUGACAUGAUGAUCCCCUGGGUAGGAUGUUGGAGAAAUAAAAGCAGGAGGUUUGCUGUAAUCUUUUUUACA